RNAcentral lists this ribosomal RNA (328 nucleotides) under Deroceras reticulatum. RNAcentral describes it as "partial 16S ribosomal RNA". It matches the Rfam family "Bacterial large subunit ribosomal RNA", at positions 1952 to 2585 of the family's 2925-position model. Lineage: Eukaryota; Metazoa; Mollusca; Gastropoda; Stylommatophora; Agriolimacidae. The record is from RNAcentral.
UAAGGUAGCAUAAUCAUUUGGCUUUUAAAUGGGGUCUUGUAUGAAGGAAGAAUGGGGGGAUACUGUCUCUACUAAAUUUAAUAAAAGUUGCUUAUAAGGUGAAAAUACCUUAAAAAAUAAAUUAGACGAGAAGACCCUAGGAGUUUAAUAUAUUUUGUUGGGGCGACACAACAACAUUUAACUUGUUGAAUUAUAUUUAUGUAUCGGAUAUUUCAUAUAAAUAUAAGCUACCCUAGGGAUAACAGCAUAAUUUAUUAAAGUUUGUGACCUCGAUGUUGGACUAGGGUAAUUUUAUUAUUAAAAAUAAUAAAAGGUAGUUCUGUUCGAA